AACGAACGCUGGCGGCAUGCCUAACACAUGCAAGUCGAACGAGACCUUCGGGUCUAGUGGCGCACGGGUGCGUAACGCGUGGGAACCUGCCCUUAGGUUCGGAAUAACUCCCCGAAAGGGGUGCUAAUACCGGAUAAUGUCUUCGGACCAAAGAUUUAUCGCCUUUGGAUGGGCCCGCGUUGGAUUAGCUAGUUGGUAGGGUAAAAGCCUGCCAAGGCGACGAUCCAUAGCUGGUUUGAGAGGAUGAUCAGCCACACUGGGACUGGGACACGGCCCAGACUGCUACGGGAGGCAGCAGUGGGGAAUAUUGGACAAGGGGCGAGAGCCUGAUCCAGCAAGGGCGGGUGAGUGAUGAAGGCCUUAGGGUUGUAAAGCUCUUUUAGCCGGGAUGAUAAUGACAGUACCGGGAGAAUAAGCACCGGCUAACUCCGUG
Molecule: ribosomal RNA, 433 nt
Filed under: uncultured bacterium
Lineage: Bacteria
Description: partial 16S ribosomal RNA
Rfam family: Bacterial small subunit ribosomal RNA
Source: RNAcentral